This 480-nucleotide ribosomal RNA is filed under the name uncultured bacterium. Its description in RNAcentral is "bacterial SSU rRNA". It matches the Rfam family "Bacterial small subunit ribosomal RNA", at positions 28 to 507 of the family's 1533-position model. The record is from RNAcentral.
GAUGAACGCUAGCGGCAGGCCUAAUACAUGCAAGUCGAACGAGAUUGUUUUAGCAAUAGAACAUGAAAGUGGCGCACGGGUGCGUAACACGUAUGCAAUCUACCUUUAAUAGGAGAAUAGCUUCGAGAAAUCGGAAUUAAUACUCCAUAACAUAAUUGAGUGGCAUCACUUGGUUAUCAAACCUCCGGGGAUUAAAGAUGAGCAUGCGCAACAUUAGCUAGUUGGUAAGGUAAUGGCUUACCAAGGCUACGAUGUUUAGGGGGUCUGAGAGGAUGAUCCCCCACACUGGUACUGAGACACGGACCAGACUCCUACGGGAGGCAGCAGUAGGGAAUAUUGGGCAAUGGAGGCAACUCUGACCCAGCCAUGCCGCGUGUAGGAAGACGGUCCUAUGGAUUGAAACUGCUUUUAUACAGGAAGAAACAACGCUACGUGUAGCGUCUUGACGUACNGUAGGAAUAAGGAUCGGCUAACUCCGUG